This 1449-nucleotide ribosomal RNA is filed under the name uncultured organism. RNAcentral describes it as "16S ribosomal RNA". It matches the Rfam family "Bacterial small subunit ribosomal RNA". The record is from RNAcentral.
AUUGAACGCUGGCGGCAGGCCUAACACAUGCAAGUCGAGCGGUAGCACAGAGAGCUUGCUCUCGGGUGACGAGCGGCGGACGGGUGAGUAAUGUCUGGGAAACUGCCUGAUGGAGGGGGAUAACUACUGGAAACGGUAGCUAAUACCGCAUAAUGUCGCAAGACCAAAGUGGGGGACCUUCGGGCCUCAUGCCAUCAGAUGUGCCCAGAUGGGAUUAGCUAGUAGGUGGGGUAACGGCUCACCUAGGCGACGAUCCCUAGCUGGUCUGAGAGGAUGACCAGCCACACUGGAACUGAGACACGGUCCAGACUCCUACGGGAGGCAGCAGUGGGGAAUAUUGCACAAUGGGCGCAAGCCUGAUGCAGCCAUGCCGCGUGUGUGAAGAAGGCCUUCGGGUUGUAAAGCACUUUCAGCGGGGAGGAAGGCGUUAAGGUUAAUAACCUUGGCGAUUGACGUUACCCGCAGAAGAAGCACCGGCUAACUCCGUGCCAGCAGCCGCGGUAAUACGGAGGGUGCAAGCGUUAAUCGGAAUUACUGGGCGUAAAGCGCACGCAGGCGGUCUGUCAAGUCGGAUGUGAAAUCCCCGGGCUCAACCUGGGAACUGCAUUCGAAACUGGCAGGCUAGAGUCUUGUAGAGGGGGGUAGAAUUCCAGGUGUAGCGGUGAAAUGCGUAGAGAUCUGGAGGAAUACCGGUGGCGAAGGCGGCCCCCUGGACAAAGACUGACGCUCAGGUGCGAAAGCGUGGGGAGCAAACAGGAUUAGAUACCCUGGUAGUCCACGCCGUAAACGAUGUCGAUUUGGAGGUUGUGCCCUUGAGGCGUGGCUUCCGGAGCUAACGCGUUAAAUCGACCGCCUGGGGAGUACGGCCGCAAGGUUAAAACUCAAAUGAAUUGACGGGGGCCCGCACAAGCGGUGGAGCAUGUGGUUUAAUUCGAUGCAACGCGAAGAACCUUACCUGGUCUUGACAUCCACAGAACUUAGCAGAGAUGCUUUGGUGCCUUCGGGAACUGUGAGACAGGUGCUGCAUGGCUGUCGUCAGCUCGUGUUGUGAAAUGUUGGGUUAAGUCCCGCAACGAGCGCAACCCUUAUCCUUUGUUGCCAGCGGUUAGGCCGGGAACUCAAAGGAGACUGCCAGUGAUAAACUGGAGGAAGGUGGGGAUGACGUCAAGUCAUCAUGGCCCUUACGACCAGGGCUACACACGUGCUACAAUGGCAUAUACAAAGAGAAGCGACCUCGCGAGAGCAAGCGGACCUCAUAAAGUAUGUCGUAGUCCGGAUUGGAGUCUGCAACUCGACUCCAUGAAGUCGGAAUCGCUAGUAAUCGUAGAUCAGAAUGCUACGGUGAAUACGUUCCCGGGCCUUGUACACACCGCCCGUCACACCAUGGGAGUGGGUUGCAAAAGAAGUAGGUAGCUUAACCUUCGGGAGGGCGCUUACCACUUUGUGAUU